Molecule: ribosomal RNA, 488 nt
Filed under: uncultured bacterium
Lineage: Bacteria
Description: bacterial SSU rRNA
Rfam family: Bacterial small subunit ribosomal RNA
Source: RNAcentral
AGAGUUUGAUCAUGGCUCAGGAUGAACGCUAGCGACAGGCCUAACACAUGCAAGUCGAGGGGUAACAGGGAAGCUUGCUUCCGCUGACGACCGGCGCACGGGUGAGUAACGCGUAUGCAACCUACCUUACACAGGGGGAUAGCCCAGAGAAAUCUGGAUUAAUACCGCAUAAUAUGAAUGCUUCGCAUGGAGUAUUUAUUAAAAUUUCGAUGGUGUAAGAUGGGCAUGCGUAGUACUAGUUAGUAGGUGAGGUAACGGCUCACCUAGACGAUGACACUUAGGGGGUCUGAGAGGAUAGUCCCCCACACUGGUACUGAGACACGGACCAGACUCCUACGGGAGGCAGCAGUGAGGAAUAUUGGUCAAUGGGCGCAAGCCUGAACCAGCCAUGUCGCGUGCAGGAUGACGGCCCUAUGGGUUGUAAACUGCUUUUGUAUGGGAAUAACCGCAUCUACGUGUAGAUGCCUGAACGUACCAUACGAAUAAGG